Non-coding RNA from Cytospora paraplurivora, 103 nucleotides. Lineage: Eukaryota; Fungi; Ascomycota; Sordariomycetes; Diaporthales; Cytosporaceae. The record is from the annotation of a GenBank genome assembly.
GGCUGUGUGGCGGAGUGGUCUAACGCGUUAGACUUGAAUAUCAAUCGAUCAUUCGAGUUAUCUAAUCUCUUCGGAGGCACAAGUUCGAACCUUGUCACAGUCG